UACGUAGGGUGCGAGCGUUGUCCGGAAUUAUUGGGCGUAAAGGGCUCGUAGGCGGUUUGUCGCGUCGGGAGUGAAAACCUUGGGCUUAACUCAGGGCUUGCUUUCGAUACGGGCAGACUAGAGGUAUGCAGGGGAGAACGGAAUUCCUGGUGUAGCGGUGAAAUGCGCAGAUAUCUGGAGGAACCCCGGUGGCGAAGGCGGCAUCCUGGACCAACACUGACGCUGAGGAGCGAAAGCCAGGGGAGCAAACGGG
RNAcentral lists this ribosomal RNA (253 nucleotides) under uncultured bacterium. Its description in RNAcentral is "partial 16S ribosomal RNA". It matches the Rfam family "Bacterial small subunit ribosomal RNA", at positions 524 to 776 of the family's 1533-position model. The record is from RNAcentral.